UUCCUUUCUCCCCAUGGGGCUUUUCCCACAACUGAGGUUUGAGGACAGAUGAUGGCUAGAGAAUUCAUUUUGGAGCAGCACAGCGGAGGAAAACAUGCUUGCUAUCAGUGUUGUUUCUGCUGUGUUUGUGACGGAGGAAAUGAGAGCAGGGGCUGGGGGGGAGUGAGCAGGACUGAGGAAGAGAAAGGAGAAGAAACAAGGGUGAUAAGGGCCAAGCAGGCCUCUUAUGAACUUCUCUUGGUCUGUGCAUGUGAUAGGCAGUGGAAUAUGAAAGGAAAUUGCUCUCUGAACCCUGGCAUCUGUUCUCUUUACAAUGAGUAUCUUCAUGGCAGCUUUGUAUUCAUCCAUUUUCUUACACCAGAGCCAGUGGGUUACUGCAGAUAGGAGAAGCCAGUAGCCAUGUAUUUACUGCACCAUCCAUACACAAACCCUUUGUUUCAGACAAACCUCUUAACUGGGCUGACCUGCAAGUUUGGGUGAGGUGGAGGAUGAGGCAUAAAAUGAUCACAACAAAGCCUGAGUCCUUGCUUGGAAAGAGCCCUGGUGCCUGCUGGGACAAGGACAGGAGCAUCCACUGAAUUCCUCUGGAGGUAAAGGGACCUUCCCUACAUCAGGAGCCAAAAAGCAAGGUACUAUGCUAGGAUGUUACUGGAAACUGGGAAAAUGUAUCGGGGGUGGGGGGGAGGGUACGUCUGCCCUAUUCUUUUAUUAUUGCCUUAGCAUCCGUAACUAGCUGCUGCUGCUGGAAAGCCUGGGUGCGACAGGCCUGCCCUAGCAGAGCGCAGCUAUUCUGGCAGCCUGACACAAUUCCUCCACGAGGAGCAGUCACACUAAACAGCACCGUUCUUGGAUGUGUUAUCAUGAAUGCAUCCAAGUGUUUACAGGAUUUUGACUUUAGUGAAGUUUGCAAGGCUUCUGCUUUGGUCUAGCUUUUUGGGCAUCAGUGGAGAUGCCCAGUGCAUUGUUGUGACAGCCAGGGGCUGCCCUGCUUGCUGCUACCAAAGCUUUUGGGGACACACUCCCAGGCCUGUGGCACGUGUUGCAGGGCUGCAGUGUAUUUUAACUAUGGCUAAAAGAAAAGAAAAUAAAAAAAAAAAAAAAAAAAAGCAUCUGAACACAGACAGAGACCUGGCUGAGUCCCGGGAGAGGGGCUGGAGCUGGGAGGAAUUUCACUGCAGCAAUGAUCAGCAUCUUCUGUGGAGAAGAGAGCAGCAAGAAUGUGAAGCAUCUGUCUUAUCUGCACCGUACUGUGACGAGAGAGUCACCCUCUGCUACGAGCCCGUUUCGGUGGCAGCAAAACUCCCGCGUGCCUCGCCGCAGUCAUUUCCCAGGAAAGGUCGGCAGGAGGUGGGCACCAGGGCAGCUGAUUCAGCAAUUGCUCUGAAUUCAGCUUUUCUUUUUAUUCCGUAUCAAAAAAUAAGAAGCUGUUGUUUACGCCGGGCUCACUGAACGGCCCCUGUUCCCAUGAUACCUAGAGGAGGCUGACAAUUAUUCUCCCUGGCUUCUCCCCGGAGCUAUUUUCUUUGCUGGCGGGGAGGAAAUUGUUCAUGUUUCAUUGGCGCUACCGUUGUUCCAGCUGCCAGAGCAGGAAUGUUUGUCCGCCAGCCUGCAUCAGUGGCAGCGGCUCCCCUUCGGACCUGCCAUCUGUUAGCUUAUCGCUGCUCUUAUCUGUGCCAUGGCAGGGGCUGGGGGCACAUCCCCCUGUGCCCAGCACUGCUGCAGCAUGCCAGCAGCAGCGGGGGGGGGCACAGCGGGGGCAGGUAAGGGACACACGGGCAGGAGGGGGGGCUGCUCUGCCCAGAUCCUCUAGGAAAGCUAAACUGCUUCUCCACAUCUCUCCCCGGCCGUGAUUGAUCCCUUAAUGAAAUGCCUCCUUAAAUAUCCGCUGUAAAUAGCAGCUGCAGUGUAACACAGGGGGCUGCUAGUCCCUGAUUUACAAAACAAGGGCUCGUAUAAACAUCCUCUUUGGGAAGCCUUGCAUCAUCUGGGGGAAAAAAAAUAAUAAUAAUAAUUUCACCCGGUUCUUAGCCCACUGGAAUUCUCUGUACCAUGGGGUCCUCCCUGCUCAGGAGGUUAUUUUUGGGGGGCUUACUCCUGGGGAGGCCUGGAUUUUCAGAUGUUGCAGUCUCAGACCUGACUGUGCUGCGAUUGCUGUUGUAAGAACUAAGACCCGAGAAACGAGACCUAAAAAACAAGACCCGCGGCAUCCCUGGCCACCCCCCCAGGACUGUACUUUGAGCUUGGCAGUGCUAAACCCCCUGUCCGGAGCCGUGUCGGUCAUCUCAUUUUCCAACCCGUGUUCCAACCUCUUGUUUCCCUUUGUCUGGAGCCGGCGAGGGGUUGCUUUCUCCCCACGGAGCGUGCAGUGCCGGAGCCGCGCCGCUGAGCGGCACCGUCCAUCCAGGCACCUCGUCCUGCAGGGCACCCACGCUGCUCCCCGAGCAGGUGCCCCCCAGGGACACCUCACCCCUGCAGGGGCCUGAGCAUCAUCCCCCAAAGCCAAGGGGUGAACCUAUAAAACAUCAGGGGAUGGGGAAAGCUUGGCUGAUAACCCAAGCCACCCCUACGUCACCAUGUUGCAUCCUAACGCAAAGCACCUUUCGUGAUUAACAGCAUUUGGACUUGGUAGGAGACAUUCUCAUUUAUUUAUUUAUUUUCCCCCCUCUCCUUUCUCUUUUUUGUUUUUGAAUUUGCAUUUAUUGCUUCCAGCUGUCCAAAUGAUCCGAGAUUAAAAUGUUCUUGACAGCACUGUCAUUUUGGAGAUUUUAUUUUCUUUCUUUUUUGAGAUGAAACUUAGAAGCAAAAGUUUUCAACGUUAAAAUAACUCUGUGUUCGGUGUUUGAUGUGCUAUGAAUGAUAUUUCCAGUAAAUGGCCACAUGUAAGUCAAUAUUUAAUUUGUGUCUACUUUCACUUUCUGACAAUUGUGACUGUUUUUUGACCUGGAAAUCUGGAAGCUUGUUUUUUCAACCUGAUUUAAUAAGAUUAGUGAAGAUACAAAAGUAAACUGGUAAAAAGGGGAACAUUUCAAGUCCUGUCAAACAGAAACAGGAUCUGCACUUUCUGUUAAUCCAGUUCCUUCAGUUUCUGACAGCACACCGUCCCAGCUGUCCUCAAAGCCCUGAUCUGAGGACUCGUGGCCGGGGCUGGUGCAGGACCACGUGGGGCUGUGGGGGAACACAUGCCGGUGUCCUCGUCCCCACACCAUGCAGACCAGCAGGACAGCACAGCUCCUUUCUGGUAAAAACCUUUCCAGAGAAAACCACAGGGAAGGGAAUGACUGCUGGGGUGCACCUCCAUCCUGCCCUGGUCCUGACGUGUGUGUUUGGCUCACCACUUUCCCUGUGGCCCCUGUGUCUGCUUUGCCUGGCGAAGCCACUUCCCCCCUCCACCUUUCCCGGCCCAGAAAUGCAAUUUCUUUCCUCAUUCCCGUGUGCAUUUUGGAGAUUCCAGCCAGGCGUGACGCUCUCCAUUCUGGAGAGCAGGCUUGGUCCUGCAGCCUAACACACCGCCAGUGCGUUUUUAAACAAAGGACUGCAAGUUCUUCAAGCAACAGGGGGGACAGUUCGCCAGUUCCUUGUGUAAUAAAACGGGGUUAGUUUAUGUACUUUUAGAGAGGACAGUUUGGGGGUUGACAGCCAGAGCUGGAAGCCUGAGGAAUGCGUAUUUGUUGUUGCCAGAUGACUUGAUAGAUGACACCACUCACACCAGUAAUCAGCAGCUUUAAGCCAGUGCUUGGAGGAAACACCCUGCAAAGCCACCCGCAAGCCCAGCUUCCCAAAGUUACACAGCGUACCUAAACCUCACUGGAAUCUGAUUAUCUGUAGCCCAACAUAAUCAGUGGGGACCUUGCAUGAACAUCAGCUGCAAUGACUUAAUUGUUGGUGCUUUUUCUUUCAGCAAGCUAACGCUGGACCAAGCAAGGCUAUCCCAAGAGGUCAGCAGCCAGUUGGAAAACCCAGGAGCAGUUAUGGGAGCCCAUGGCUGCAUAUCGCUGCUGUGUAACAAUGUGUGUUGUUUUCUCUGUCUUACAUGUUUUAAGGGAAAAUAAAAUAAUAAAAUAAAAUAAAAUAAAAUAAAAUACUGUGGCCUGUUUUUCCUUUCCUCUCCAGACCAGAGUGAAAUUCUCAUAGCACUACCCUUCCUCCCACAAAAGCCCUUACUCAAAGACUGGUGGCACAACAAACAUUUUUUUUUUCUUUUUUUUUUCUUUUUUUUUUUUUUCCUGAAGGAAAUACAGGCAACAGAGGGUCCUUUUGCCAGUCCCAUCCUUUCACUGGCGUUGAAUUCAGAAAGGCUGCUCCUUGACAGUAGUCCUGCCAAGCCUAAAUGAGCUGUGUCAGCUCGGGUUUGGAUGCUUUCCCUCUUGGUGCCGGGCAUUUUUUUCUGCAGUCGUUGUAGGGCACAGGCAAAUUAGGCAGCUGCUGAGUAGAUAGAGCUGCAAAAUGGCCAACCACCACUUUGCUAGGGCCGCGGAGCCAGGUGUCCCACUGUGGGACAUCCUGCAUCCUGCCCCUCACCCUCCCCUUUCUGUGGCAGAAGAAGACCCACCACCUCCUCUCCUUGUUCUUCACAGUCAGAAAAGCAAAAUGAAGCCUCUUCCAAAGUGUUGAGCAGCCUCGAGGUGACUGCCCAGCUGGGACACCUGUCCGGUGACACACCACACCAUCUCCAAAAUGCACUGUGCCUGUGGGCACCCCUGCACUGUCAGGGCUUGCUGGGGGAGGAAGAAAGUUCACACAGCCUGGAUGAACAGCAGAGCUGCAGCCCCACAGUGCUUUGUUUAGGAAAACAGCUGCCUUUUUUUUUUCCUGUGUGGUCUGAGCAACAUGCAAGCAAGGACCAAAGCACUUGCAAGCCACGGUGGUGGUAUGAAAGCAGUAAUUGCCUCACUUGUGUGGGGAUCCCAGUGGAAGCAUUGGGAAGUGUCAGCCAGCUGUGUCCCCUGCCCUCCUCACGCUCCUGCUCACCAUGGGGAAGGUGGAGAGUCACCUCCCACACCCGAGCAGGUUGCUGGUAAUGUCUGUGACACGUUUGCCCCUUCUGCCCUCAUAUCCUGCAUCUCAGGGGCUUCCUCCUAGCUGAAAAUAGAGGGCUGGGGAAUGACCUAUCUGUCUGCCCAAAAUUACAGGGGGAGGAAAAGCCCUUUUUUUUUUGUUUGUUUUGUUUAUUUAUUUAUUUUGUAUUUGUGUUGCUAGCAUAACUGAAGAUCCCAGCUGAAGCUGUAUUCAGGGUUCUACCAGCACUUCAUAAAAAGGUGGACGUGUCCUGAGGACCCUUCCAGGAAGCAAUGACAAACGGUGGAAGUUGUUAAGAGGAUAGCGAGAGUGUCUAAUAAAACACACUAAAAUGAACAUCUGCUUUUUGGCUGGGGGUUACUGUAAACAAAAUUAUAUCAGUUAUCUCUGA
Molecule: long non-coding RNA, 5407 nt
Organism: Oxyura jamaicensis (ruddy duck)
Lineage: Eukaryota; Metazoa; Chordata; Aves; Anseriformes; Anatidae
Exons: 2
Source: RefSeq, a predicted model, not a curated record